GAUGAAGAACGCAGUGAAAUGCGAUAAGUAAUGUGAAUUGCAGAAUUCAGUGAAUCAUCGAAUCUUUGAACGCACCUUGCGCCCUUUGGCCAUUCCGAAGGGCAUGCCUGUUUGAGUAUCAUGAACACCUCAACUCUUUAUGGUUUUCCAUGAUGAGCUUGGACUCUGGGGGUUUUGCUGGCUCACAGUCGGCUCCUCUAAAAUAAAUCAGCUUACCAGUGUUUGGUGGGUAUCAUAGGUGUGAUAACUAUCUACGCUUGUGGUUUUUCCACCAGGUAACCUUCAGCAGUGGAGGUUCGCUGGAGCUCAUAGAUGUCUCUCCUCAGUGAGGACAGCCCUUUGAAUGUUUGAUCUCAAAUCAGGUAGGACUACCCGCUGAACUUAAGCAUAUCAAUAAGCGGAGGA
This 405-nucleotide unclassified non-coding RNA is filed under the name soil metagenome. RNAcentral describes it as "partial contains 5.8S ribosomal RNA, internal transcribed spacer 2, and large subunit ribosomal RNA". The stretch from base 1 to 121 matches the Rfam family "5.8S ribosomal RNA", at positions 35 to 154 of the family's 154-position model. The record is from RNAcentral.